This 584-nucleotide long non-coding RNA is filed under the name Panax ginseng (ginseng). RNAcentral's name for it is "long non-coding RNA (PGIN_LNC008344)". Lineage: Eukaryota; Viridiplantae; Streptophyta; Magnoliopsida; Apiales; Araliaceae. The record is from RNAcentral.
GGUGAUCUCUAGCUAGGUAUAUAUAUUUAAUCUAGCUAAGCUUAUUAAUUUUGGGACAACUAUGGCUUCCAUAAUGUUGCUGCUGGACGCUCUAGUACGAGGCAACCGCGAUAUUUAUUCUCAAGAAAAGGAGCGGAAAGAAAUGGAGGGCAUUACUGUUAGUGUUACAAAGGAAGAUGAUAAACAAAAUUUGUACAUGGUCUACGACAAAUAUGCAUGUGGCACCGGUUUCUUGAGCCCAGAAGAGGAGGUGCAGACAUGGAAGAUUGCUGAGAUUUGCAUUUGGCCAUAGAGAUCGAAUACACCAUGCAUACUCCUUCAUAUAUCGCUCCUGUCACAAGUUUUAGAUUGCGAUCAUAUAGUAAUAUUUUCGAUGGUAUUAAGAGAAGAGUACUAUUUCUUUGCAUGGAUUAUAUAUAGGAGUAUGAAUUAAAGAGAGUAAGGAAUCUUUUCUUUAAGAACGAGAAUUAUGUUCCUUGCAUGCAUCUUUCACUUCUUUUUUUUACUAAACCAUAAAUUUUACCCUAUAGUUUAGGCUUUGAAUCAAUUUUCAUCUCGAACUUUAUCAUUAAUUAAAAGUACCA